RNAcentral lists this ribosomal RNA (465 nucleotides) under uncultured bacterium. RNAcentral describes it as "partial 16S ribosomal RNA". It matches the Rfam family "Bacterial small subunit ribosomal RNA", at positions 28 to 507 of the family's 1533-position model. The record is from RNAcentral.
GACGAACGCUGGCGGCGUGCUUAACACAUGCAAGUCGUACGGUAAGGCCCUUUCGGGGGUCCACGAGUGGCGAACGGGUGAGUAACACGUGAGUAACCUGCCCACAACUUUGGGAUAACGCUAGGAAACUGGUGCUAAUACUGGAUAUGUGCCCCUGCUGCAUGGUGGGGGUUGGAAAGCUCCGGCGGUUGUGGAUGGACUCGCGGCCUAUCAGCUUGUUGGUGAGGUAGUGGCCUACCAAGGCGGCGACGGGUAGCCGGCCUGAGAGGGUGACCGGCCACAUUGGGACUGAGAUACGGCCCAGACUCCUACGGGAGGCAGCAGUGGGGAAUAUUGCACAAUGGGCGCAAGCCUGAUGCAGCAACGCCGCGUGCGGGAUGACGGCCUUCGGGUUGUAAACCGCUUUCAGCAGGGACGAAGCUUUUUGUGACGGUACCUGCAGAAGAAGCACCGGCUAACUACGUG